Molecule: non-coding RNA, 781 nt
Organism: Camellia sinensis
Lineage: Eukaryota; Viridiplantae; Streptophyta; Magnoliopsida; Ericales; Theaceae
Source: RefSeq, a predicted model, not a curated record
CCUCCGUCUCCUCUCUCUGUCACCUGUGUUAUUAUUAUGCACAUGACAAUGAGAUAUGUUAGAUUGAUCCUACUUUUGAAACAUUAUCGUGAGAAUGUCUAGUUCUUCAGUAUAUUAUGCAAUCAGGUUCAAUAAUUUUUUUGUCAGAAGUUGUUUCUUAAACAAGACACCUACAUUUUUGAACAUGCUUCUUUUAUAACUUUGUGAUAAUUGUUUAUCUGGCUAUAUAGUUUGUAGAUGUCCAAUACUUAUAAAAAAAGGUUUAUACUUGUUCAAUACUGUGACAGAUUUGGAACGAGUGAAAGACAGUGGGUAGAAGCUCAAGUUGAGAAUGCUAAGCAGCAAGCUAUUCUCAUGGCACUUAAAGCUCAAGUAACAUCAGAUGAAGCUCACAUACAUCCUGAUCUUCAUUCUCUUAGAUUUGGUGAACAAUCUUAAAGAAGACCAGCUUGAGUACCUUGAGGAACGACGUCUCAAGGACUUGGUCAAGAAGCAUUCUGAAUUCAUUAGUUACCCAAUCUCUCUCUAGAUUGAGAAGACUAUAGAGAAGGAAAUUUCUGAUGAAGAGGAUGAGGAAGAGAAGAAAGACGAGGAAGGAAAGGUUGAGGAUGUUGACGAAGAGAAGGAGAAGGAAGAUUGAUAGAUUAGUUAUUAGGAUGUAUCAAUUGUUGCAUUAGGAUGUUUUAUUUGAUUUUCAAGAUUGACAGAUUUGUUUGGGCUGUUGUUAUUGAUUUAUUGUUGCAUGAGGAUGUUUUAUUUUAUUUUCAAGAUUGACAGAUUU